This 342-nucleotide unclassified non-coding RNA is filed under the name uncultured fungus. Its description in RNAcentral is "sequence contains ITS1". The stretch from base 1 to 105 matches the Rfam family "5.8S ribosomal RNA", at positions 50 to 154 of the family's 154-position model. The record is from RNAcentral. Lineage: Eukaryota; Fungi.
AAAAUGCGAUACGCAAUGCGAAUUGCAGAAUUCCGCGAAUCAUCAGAUCCUUGAACGCAACUGGCGCUGGAGGGAUAUCCUUCCAGCAUGUCUGUUUCAGUGUCUGAUAACUUCCUUCUCAUCAUAAUGUGUUUGACAAGGGGUGAGUCAUUUAUGACUCAUAACCAAAAUUCCCGAGUCUUACAUGAAAGAUGUAUGUGUGGGUCUUUGGAUCCAUCGAAUUGGUCACUGAGACUUCAGUGAUUUCGAUAGGAAAUCCAAUUACUCGUAUGCACAUAGAAGUAUUUAUAACAUCUCUAAUAUCUGCAUCUGAAAUCAGGCAAGAACACCCGCUGAACUUAA